This is a long non-coding RNA of Passer montanus (Eurasian tree sparrow), 3004 nucleotides long. RefSeq lists it as uncharacterized. The transcript has 3 exons. NCBI's taxonomy places the organism in Eukaryota, Metazoa, Chordata, Aves, Passeriformes, Passeridae. The record is from RefSeq and is a predicted model, not a curated record.
UAUGGAAAUGCAGGAAAAUUAAGAAUUACAUUUUUGACCCGCAACUACAUACAUUGCAACCCAAUAUGCAAUGUUAUUUGAGUGACACAAUUAAAGAGUACCUUCUAUUGAUGGAAAGGUUCUGAGAAAAUAUUACUGAAUUAAUUGUCAUUGCCUUACAGAAUACAUUGAGCUGAUUUUCAUCUUUGAAAAAUUAGUUUUUUUCUGGUAUCUCCCCAGAAGGUGACUACCCAUAGGUCUGAGAACACUAUGGAUGGAGUUUGGUUCCCUACAACACCUGAUUCUCUAUUAUUUUUCUUUUUUUUUUAAAGGAAAAUGUCAUUUUUCUUCUAAUUCCUUUGCCCUCUGCCAGCUUAAAUGGUAUAAAUAGGCAAAUAAACCUCAGCAAAUCACUAGGGUGGCUUCAGGGGUAUUUGUUUGUUUUAUCUAGUAGCCCUUGGAAGCUUCAGGCUGGUUGUGCCAGCUCUGUACAAACACUGGGUGCGGUGGGAAAUCUUUAUGUGUGAAGAGCUGACAGCCUGUGUGGAGGGAAGAGCACAAGCAGCAGCUUAACAAAUACCUGUCUGGUCAAUAAAGGACAAGUGAAAAAGCCAUGGGAUUACAUGGAUUACAGUACUUGGUUACACAGAUUAACCAGGCAAUUAAAGGCAGCAGGAACAAUAAAUAUCCUUCAAAGGGGAGCCGCUAUUGGGCUGUAGGCUGAAUGUGGCCUUCCAGCUCUAAACUGGUUUUGCCAUAAACACAAAAUCACAAAAGCUGAAGGAGAGGGACAAGGCCCUGGAAACAGACCCACAAAUGAGACAUGCUUUCCUUGAAUCCUCAAGAAAUUUUAUACCGUUGACUGGGGUCUUUUUCAUUUAUAUUUUGAUGGUUUCUUAUCUUACGUUUUAAAAGGAAAUCUGCUGAAUGUCUAAAAUGCCUUUUGGCAGUCAGGCCUUUUGUUGCUGAUCUCCGACUUAAAAACAGUUUAACUUAUCAAGAAGCUUUGGUGUAGAUCUGGUGUAGUGGGUUGGUUCAUUUGGUUUUUAAAUGCUUUCUUUUGGAUCACUUUUAAUCAUCACUUACAUUGCACAUGGCCAUUUAUGCAUUGACAGGUUGAUGGGGACUUUAAUGUACAUAAAACUUUCUCUGUCAGGACUUAUGCCUCUCUGUCAGAUUUUAUCCUGCAGUAGAGAGGGUUCAUGUACAGUUGCUGACAGAUAAAAUAAGCUCCUCCAGCAGCUGCAGCUCUGCCUCCCACAGGUUUGUUUUUUUUCUGCUCUGGUUCUGUGUCCCCAGCUAAGUGUUGAGAAAGCACAGGGCUGUGUCGGGACAGACAAGCAGGAGUACAGCAAGAGGGACAAUGACUUCACCACAGGCCUGUAGUGCAACUCUAAAUGUUUGACAUCUUUCUUUAGCCCCAGGUGCAGGAGACAGAUGGAAAAACUGAGGCACACAGACACCUUCCUAUCCAAGACCGCACAGGAAAUCUGUGGCAAGACCAGCACAGGCUCCUGAUCACAGGAGUCUGCAUCUGUAGGGGUUUGGGGAGGACAGCUGAGCUCCCUUGCACUCAGAUGCCUGUGGCAAGAGCUGAAGUGCACACCAGCAAAAGAUGAGUUCAGCAUGUGCCAGGAUGAAGAGCAAACCAAUAUUUUCUGGAGGGACUCUUCCACCAUCUGCAGCAUCCAGCAACUGGAAAAAUCCUCCCAAUAACUGGGUUGCCUCUGCAUUUUCUUAACGGUGUUCAAUUUCUCCUCCCUUUGCAUGGGACUAAGUUGUUCUUUCAUGAUUGUAUUCUGUGUGGUUAUGGACUAGCUAACCUGGAAAGUGCUACCAAGUCUCCCCUAUUUCAAAUAUUACAUGCAGAAUGAAACACACCUUUGCUAAAAUAAUGGAAAUAAACCAUGAGUCUAAAAAGUGGUUUGGAUAGUGCAGUUAUGAAAGAAACCAUCCUAUUUCCUUGUGGUGAAGAGAAUAACAAAGAGGAUCACACAAGUCCAACAUUAUCUUUUUCCCCAGUUUAAUUUAUGUCCAUGUGUUACAUAGUCUGUAUCUCUUUUAAAUGUCUGGUUGGACACUGCAGCCUGUUUCACCCCCAGUGCAAGUUUCCUAUUUUCCUCUCAGAGCUGAGAUGUGCUGAGGCCCUUGCAGGGCUCCUUGACUACACAUAUAUUUGGGACAACCCUAUCCAUGCAAGCAAAGUUCAGAAAACUGAAGACAACGCGUAUUACUCAGACUAUCCUAUUAACACAGGCAAAUGGUAACCGGUGGGGGCAGCAAGACUUCUCCCUGCUCCCUCUGACACUGCUGCUGCAGUGGGAGUGGUACCAGCAAGACUCUGGGUUUGUAGGGGUCCACUCUGGGGCUCCUCAGCCCAUCCUACAGACACUAUGGCCACUUUCAGACUGCUGAGGUGUGAAACACUGAUAUCAGUGUAACAUCAGAGCCAAAAAAAGCUUAUUUUGUCAAUUUAGAGUAACAAAAGUGAAGAGCUUCUCGCUCCACUCAUCUCUUGCAUUCAUCACCAUGAAAUGGAAGAACGAGUACGGAGUCGUGCAACAAGCUGUCACAUCAGCUUCAAAAGCAAUGGCCCACACAAGCAAAUUUCCCUACUGUACAGUCUUGUUAUUUAAGAUUAUUUAAUCAAAGGUGGCAGAAAGCAAGAGGUGGUUGUUGUUUGUUAGUUUUUUUCCCCCAAGAAAGCAAUUCAGCCAUUUCCAGAACCGGUCUGAGUGUUGACAGCAGCAUCUACCCACAGAUACAAGGUAUAAAUUGCUUAAUUAUGUGUGAAGAUUAUGGGAGCUAUGUCAAGCCUGAGUCACCAGCAGUUAUUUGAAAAGGUAAAACAAAAAUGAUUAGCAAAUUCCUCUGGAAAGUGGUAAUUGUAAUUUUUCUUCCUGUGCAUGUGGGGGUUGCUGUGUCUCCUGGCAGUACUGUGGCCACCUUCACAUGUGUUCAGUGGCAGGGGCCAAACAAAACUCAGGGCUCAGACAUUGCAAUAUUAACGGGCUUCCAAGGGACA